GAUGAACGCUGGCGGCGUGCCUAAUACAUGCAAGUCGAGCGAACGGACGAGAAGCUUGCUUCUCUGAUGUUAGCGGCGGACGGGUGAGUAACACGUGGAUAACCUACUUAUAAGACUGGGAUAACUUCGGGAAACCGGAGCUAAUACCGGAUGAUAUUUUGAACGGGAUGGUUCAAAAGUGAAAGACGGUCUUGCUGUCACUUAUAGCUGGAUCCGCGCUGCAUUAGCUAGUUGGUAAGGUAACGGCUUACCAAGGCAACGAUGCAUAGCCGACCUGAGAGGGUGAUCGGCCACACUGGAACUGAGACACGGUCCAGACUCCUACGGGAGGCAGCAGUAGGGAAUCUUCCGCAAUGGGCGAAAGCCUGACGGAGCAACGCCGCGUGAGUGAUGAAGGUCUUCGGAUCGUAAAACUCUGUUAUUAGGGAAGAACAUAUGUGUAAGUAACUGUGCACAUCUUGACGGUACCUAAUCAGAAGGCCACGGCUAACUACGUG
Molecule: ribosomal RNA, 497 nt
Filed under: uncultured bacterium
Lineage: Bacteria
Description: partial 16S ribosomal RNA
Rfam family: Bacterial small subunit ribosomal RNA
Source: RNAcentral